GGGGCUGCUGUGCUGCGCCCGAGCACGUACCGGGGCGUGGCCUGCAGCGCGGCGGGCGGGGUUUGGGGAAGUUUCUCCCGGCGGCUUGUGUUUCGCAUCCUCAUCAUGUAGUACCAGCGGCACCACGGACUUUAGGGGUGGUCGGUCCCCUCCGCAUCCUUGUUAUUUUCCCCGCUGAGGGGGCUGUCUGAUCACUACUGCUCUCAGGCACCUGUCUUUCCUCUCCGUCCCGGGAUGGAUCCGAGACAAGGGAAUAAAGGAAAUUAAAUAGUACGAGGAGAUCGGGUGUCUGGGCAGCGUCUUGGAUAAAACCGUCCACUACAGGCUCAUUACGCCCCUGUAAAACAACUCACCAGCAUCCAGAAGUUUCCUCACACGCAAAUAGCUGAUGGUGAGCCUCAUAACAGAAGCCUUAUCGAGAUGCGAGCUCACAUUAUGGGGAAGUGGCAACUGAUGAGCAAGUUCAUAGAAAACUUCAGACUCUUUACUUCGCCGAGAUCUCGCUGCAUCUCUAGACUUUUCUUUUCGACGUUCAGAACUUAUCCUAUUGAGCAAAAAAAGGAGGACAGAAAAAGAAAAUUUAUAUAAGUUAGCUUGCCUUUGCUUGGAUAAAACUAAUUUUACAUUUUUCUGCUUUCCAUAAAACAAUGUGAAGAUGCCAUGUAAUUAUAUAGAGAUUGGUCUACUACAUGAAUGUGUAAAGUAAGAAUGUAGGAGACAGAUACACAAAUUUCUGGAUUACUGAAGACAUAGGGAACUCUAACAAAGAAGUCCAAGAUGGAGCUUUAAACCUGUCUGAAACAGGUAUUUCCUUCCUGGCAUAUCAAAUUAGAGAGGAUAUUUUGUUUUAGCCAAAGUCUUAAAAGUAGCCUGUGUAUGUGCACCCUCAUAGCCAUUCAGAAGUAGUUUCAACAUAAAGAAAGCACCAUUAAGUCUAAAGAAACUAAAGCUGUACAUAUUAACUUGAAAACAGGAGUUGUUAAGCAGGCAGAACAGUUACAGCUACAAACUGAUUUUUGACUUGUUUCUUUGGACUCUGAUAUUUUCCCAACUUCUUCUACCCUACCACAUGAGCAAUACUGACUAUAAGCUAAAGAAAUCUAUAUUAGCAGCUAUAAUAAGUUACCAUUUUCAGGUUGCUUAUUCCCUUAGCAGCCUCUUUAGCAGCCCCUUUUCUUUACUGGCACAAGUACCAAAUAAAGGCAGGAGUAUAGAAGAGAAAAAAAAGAUGUGACACAAUACUAAGAAUUGAAAGAAACAGGUUAAUAAACAUUAACAAAGGUGUCAAAACAAGGAUAUAUCUUUAGGGAACUUUUCCAAGAAUAAAGUCAGAAAGAUUUUCCUAAGCAGAGACAUUCACCUUCCUUUGCUUGACUGUGUAGAAACAUCUAUUCCUCCUGACGCAGCUGGAGGAGGUAAACAAGGCUAACCCUGGUUCUGUCCUUAGCUUCUUUAAGAGCUGUUGUUUAUUAAAACCUACUAUGUGCCAAAUGUUACCCCGUACCAGGUGCCUAGUUCUCUCAAAAUUUGUAAAUAGGGUAAAUAUUAUCCCUUUUUACAGAUGAGGUUAUACAGUAGGCUAAAAACAGCCAUUAGCAGACGGGGUUUGAACACAAGGUGUUUUUUUCACUCCAAAGUCUGUUUGCUCUUCCAGUGUUUUAUCUUAAGGAAGAAUGCUGCUUCUACCUCAAAUACUCAGCAUGCUCCUAUGACUUUCAACCUAAUUCUGUUAAGUCAAUUAUUUAUUAAGUGUUGAAAACGGCUGUUACCAUUUAUUAAGCACUUAGCACUAUGCUAACGACUUUGUCAGCAUUAUAUCACUUAAUCCUCCUCACAUCCUAUGAAUGAAGCACAUAAUUGUAUCUACCUCAAAUCUCUCCUCCCUCCAAAUGAUCUGCAAAACUGCAAGGUUCAAUCACAGAAGCAACACUCUCAAAAAAACAGGCAGGGUUCUCAGCACAUGCUCCCAUUAUGUUGAGUAAUAGUUGUAUUGUGCAACAGUGAUAAUCUAGUUUUAACACUUAAAUUUGUGUGUGUAUCUGACUUUUAUACAUUAAUAAGGAAUGUGAAUAUUUGCUGUUGUUAGUAACUGAACUUUGAUACAAAUUUUUCAACUCAAGCAUCUAGAUCAAUUUUACUUGAGUAUUUUGAGAUUUAAGGUAAGCUAUUAAAAACUAUUACUAUUUAGAACUAGCGAUCUAUGUGAAUCAAGAUUUUCUUAAUGACAUAUAAUAUUUUUAAGUUUAUUUAUUUUGGGGGGGGGGGUGGACAGAGAGACAGGAAGAGAGAGAAUCCCAAGCAGGCUCUACACUGUCAAAUGUGCAGCCCGACAUGGGGCUCGAACUCACGGGCCGUGAGAUCAUGACCUGAACCAAAAUCAAGAGUCAGACGCUUAACCAACUGAGCCACCCAGGCACCCCAAUGCUGUAUAAUUUUUAAAAAACAUGAAAAUAAAUUAGACUCUGAGGCUACCAUGAAAAUUCAAUAAUGUCAAGUCUGCAACUUCAUUUUUUAUGUGCAUUAGAACUGCCUCACUGUUCUCGUUAACUUUUAAUGAAUGUUUAAAUUUGAACUUAGAAUAAAAUGUAAAAUAAUAAAAGUUUUCAACAUCUAUUUUAUACACAUACCAGAGUUUCUAGGGGAGAGAGAUCCAAUAUGUCCCUAUUGGCUCUAGCAUCUAACUUUCCUCUCUUUCCCUUCUGAAUUGGCAAGUGAGAGGAAGGGAUGAUAGUGGAAAUCAGAUUAGUAUCUGGUUCAAGUAAAGCCAGCAAAAAAAGUGUGAUGACCAACUGACCUGAAUAUUAGUUCAAAUGUCACAAUUAGUCCAGGUGAUCAGAAUUUUAUCAACAACUUUCAUCAAACUUACUAGGCUUCUUUUGUUAAUUACUCAACCAAAUUAAAGCUACCAACAAAUGACUAUCCAAAUUUUUACUUGGUAAAAAAUUUAAAUCCUUUUAUUACCUGCUAUAUGCUUUUAAAGGGUAUCUGAUCUAGCUAACCAUGGUGAUUACACCUUUAGAAACACUUGUAUUGUCCAGAACUCUGAAGAUAAUAUUGUUAAAGAUGUGGCAACUAAAUUUAUAAGACAAAUCCAUAAGAAAUGUGAGCCUGGAUAAAACAUUUAUAGCAUAAUACACUUAAGCAGUGAAGACUAGGAGAGUAAGAAUUUGAGCAUGAGCCAGAAUUCUGGAAGAAAAAUAAGCCUCAAUAAAACAAGUAACAGGGUAUUUCAAGAGUCGACAAACCUAAAUUAGAUGAAGGUGAUGAAAAUCAUUGUGUCCUAUAUUACAUAAUCUAUCUAGACAUAAAACAAUCAGGAGACCUAUAAUAAAGAUUUAAUAUAGGAAUUUAUAUGAUGUUCUUCACACAUGUGACUAUGGGGGCUCUUAAAACAUUUCUUAGCUUAAAGCUAUAACCAACAAAGUUCUUAUGAGUUUCAGCAUCAGCACGGCUCAGCUUCCUGUCUCCUCAGAAGGCUCUUUUUAUCAGGUCAUACCCCACAGAAUUAAAGUACUAGCCAAGAAAUUAUUUCGGGCAAACCACAGCAUCUGGGUCCCACAGAGAUAAAUCCUGUACUAUUUAUUUACUUACUACUUAGAUUGUGAAAUAAAAGUUUUUGUAGAUCAGAAGAAAAUGGGCAGAUUUUCUGCAUGCAAAUAAGGUACUGUAUUUCUCUAAAUUAUCAAUUCCAUCUUUGUUGUUUUUAAUUAAGUACAAAUCAAGUAAAGUUCUGCACUGACAUGUCUGUAUAAAGUGCUAUUUCACAUCUUAGUAGAAAUCAGUUAAGAGUAUAGUAAAAAAAUCUAUCUUUUCAAUAGUUUGCUUACCCACCUCUAUGAUUGUUUUAGGACUAACAUUUGAGGAAAAUAGCAAAAUAAGUUGAUCUUUGUGGUACUGUAGUUUUCACACACUUACUAUUUCAUCAUUAUUUAACAUACAGCACUGGACAAGAAGCUAACUAAAUUAUAUCUUGAAAUUAUUUUGUAUAGAAAAUACACUUAGGAAAAUGAGCCGCUGUCACUAAACUUCUUGUAUACAAAGUUGAAUGGCAAUAGCCAUUUUACAGAGAAUGCUUAGUAUUCUUUAGAUUAACAAGAACACAAAAUAAUUGCAGAUAUUUUAAUUCAUCUCUUUUUGUUGUCUAAUUAUAAAAGAAAAGCCUAUUAACAUUCCUGAUUAUAAAUACAUGUGACUUUAAGACCUGAAGUUAGAGCCAAUCAUUCAAAACGUUAAGAACUGAUUCAUCUUUUUUUUUUUUUUUUUUACUUUUUUCUUUUUUAACGUUUACUUAUUUUUUGAGAGAGACAGGGCAUGAGCUGGGGAGGGGACAGAGAGGUGGGGCAGUCACAGAUUCUGAAGCAGGCUCCAGGCUCCGAGCUAUCAGCACAGAGCUGGAUGUGGGGCUCGAACUCAUGAGCCACGAGAUCAUGACCUGAGCUGAAGUCGGAUGCUUAACCGACUGAGCCACCUAGGCACCCUGAUCCAUCCUAUUUCUAAUAAAGUUAAUGUAUACAUUUUUUUUAAAAAAGUCUCUCAAUCUAUUAUUUGCUGCUUUAAAAUCUCUUUCUGGCUUUGAAGGUACAAGUUGUUGUUUUCCACUUCUUAUGUUGGUAUUUCUACAGGACAGAACUUCUGAAGUGAAAUUCCAUGAUCUAAAGGAUGUGGCAUUUAAAUGUACCUUUCCAAAAAGGUCUGUAACUAUUUUUGUCUCUGCAAAUUCAUGAAUGUGUUUAUCUAUUUCUCCACGCACUCUGCUGUAAUAUAUAUAUUAUGGGUCUUUUUUACCUUUUUAAUUUUUGUGAAGCUGAUAGGUGAAAAAUUGUACAUCUCACUGUUUUAACUGCCCUGCACUUCUUAAAAUCUCAGGCCAGAGGAAAUUCCAAGGAAAUUUUCAUGUUCUUAGUUGGCAUUUUGGCCUGCAGCUUUAAUCCAAACUCCUAUACAAGGUGAUUAUACUAUGUACACAGUGGUACUCUAAACAUUUCUCAUCAAUUAACUUAAUUUUUAUUAUCAUCACCAUGUUACAAAUAAGGAACCAGGUUAAAUAACUUACCCAAGUUUAUAGAGUUAAUAAGUGGCACAGCUUUAUUCAAACUCAAGCAGUCUGGCUCUAAAAACUAUGCUGUUAACAACAGACUAUGCUACCUCUCAGAAAUUCAAUUCUAAUUACUAAGGUAAGUAUACAUAUAUCCAGGCAUUAUAAAGUUCAAAAUUUGUCUACACAUCUCCCAAGACAUAAAGGAGAGGUAGAGGGGUUGGCUCUGGAAUUUAGGACUUGACUCUAAGCCAUUCAGAAGCACUCAUGGGCAGGCUCUUUCCUGGUAUCCGCUUAUAAAUCCAAAAUCCUAAUUCAAAAGCACCUACAAUGGCAAUGCUCUGGGCUCCACUGUCCACCAGCUCUUCAAAGCAAUACAGCCUUUAGUGGAUACUGCCAACCACUAAGGGGAGAGAAUCAGAGGACAGUAAUUCAAUCUACCUCAUAUAAUCCCACCAGACUGUACUCAAACAUCAGCUCACUAUUGCUGGUGUUUUAUUUGCUCCACAUCUGGAUCCCCAAAGUAAAACCAAUCUGCAUACUCACUUCAAAGCUGGAUAAGCAUAAGCUAAAUUGCCAAGAUAACUAAUCACACAAAGUAAUGUAAGAGAAAAAAGACGAAGAAAAUCUUCCCCUUCUACCAUUUAUUGAGCACUUAAUGUGUAUCAGGCACUAUGUUAAACACUUUCAUGUAUUAGCUCAGUUCAUGAAAACAACUCUAUAAAGAACCAAAACACAAGAUGGGAAGUGGACUUCCUGAACCUCAGAAUAACUUCUUUCAUUCAAGAAAUAUUUGUUACAUAAAUAUUUAUUGAGCAUUUACCAUGCACUGUUCAAUUUAUAAGGAAUAUAGUGACAAGCAGGAUAGCCUCCCACUUAGCCUACUGUAGAAAUAGUUACCUAGUGCUAUAUUUUCAAAUGCUGGUCUAGGUGCAUCAUAAUUAUUUAGGGGCAUUCAACAUUCCAAACUUCUGGGCUCCACCUUCGUAAAUUCUGGUUCAGUAGAUCUGAAGCAGGGCCCAAAAUUCUGGGUUUGUAAAACUCCCAAGAUGCAUAUGAUAUACAGUUAGAUCUGGGAACCAUUGACUGAACUAUUUCACUAUUACUGCGCUUUAAUUUCACCCAAAUAUCUACCCAAUUAUCAUUCCACAGUCAGAAAUCUCAUAUUAUGCCCUGCUUAAAAUCCCAUCAAAUGUACACAGGACAAAAUCUAUUUUCUAAAGAAACCCUCCCUUAGCUAGCUCCCUGUCCAUCUCUUCAUCCUCAUUAUUCCCUAUUCCUUUGGUCACACUGCAGUUACUCAAAAACAUAUUUCAUUCCUUUCUCGCUCAGUCUGUCUCAGCCUGAGGUACCCUUCUCAGUAUAUGACUUGGCAAAUUUAUGUGAGAAACUUUUAAGAUUCAACCCAGCAUUAUUUUGUCUCUACUCUGUCUUCCAAAACUGUUCUUCUCCCCUAAAUUUCACCACUCUGGUUAUUUUGCUACAUACACAUGACCUUUGAACAGCACAGAUCUGAAAUGUGUAGAUCCACUUAUAUACGGAAUUUUUUUUGAUAAAUGCAAUAUAGUACUAUAAAUGUUAUUUUCUCUUUAUGAUUUUCUUAACACCAUUUUCUUUUCUCUAAUUUGCUUUAUUGUAAGAAUACAGUAUAUAAAACAUAUAUAAAAUAUGUGUUAAUAGUUAUCGGUAAGGCUUCCAGUUAACAGUCAAGUUUUGAGGGGAAGGCAAUUAGUCACAUUUCUGGGGGAGUCAAAAGUUAUAUAUACGUGGAUUUUCAACUGUGCAGGGGGUCAGUGCCCCUAACCACCUGCAUUGCUGAAGGGUUAACUGUACUUAUCUUCCUCUACAAUCCUCAAAGCUUCUUGGAGGCAGGAAACUGCCUCAUUCAUCUUUACCUUUGUAUUCUUAGUAGAGAUGUGUGUAAGUUCCACUUGGCUUUAGUACUUAGCCCUAAUCUAUUUGACUUUGACUUCAGCCCAUGGAAGGCUGACUACCCCACCCUUCAACAUUUGUUUUAGGAUCCCUGAAUAUGUGCUUCAUCAGUGCUCCCGUAAUCCUACAGGUCAUGAUCAUAAUUAAACAGAAUAAUAAUGUUAGUACUAUGAACAAAGCAUACAAUUUGGAUUUACCAUGAUUAUAUGGAUAUGCACUUUCAAGUGUAAGUAAGCAUUUGGUGGGUAUACUAGAUGUAAGUUAGAAAAGCUACUGAUUAAAAAAAAAAAAAAAUCACCUAGCAGCCUAACAGUGAGUGGCACCAAUACUAUAUCACCAAAGAGAGAGCAAGUGAUACCGCCAGAGAAGAGAUCUGGAGGCAAAGGGAGAAGGCAGAGAAACUAGAAUACCAAUUUAUUAAAAAGAGGCUAAAGAUUUAAGAUUAUUUCCCUUAUCACUCUAAUCUAUACUCUAAUGUCUUUUACUUUUUAUUCCUAAACUGAUGUGGUCAGGUAAAUGCAUGAGUUGUAGUUAAUGCUAUUAAUCAAUUAAAUCAACACCUUUAUAAUUAUGUCUUCCUGGCACAGCUGGAAACACAACAUUUGUCUGUUUUCUAAAAUUGUUUUCAAGAAGUGUUGUAAUUUUCAUAAGACAUGAAAAUUUUUAUUAAGUUUAUUUCUAAUCUUAUUGGCUUUAUUUUCAAGAGGAGGUUACCCCUAGACAAGCAUAUUUAUUACUUCGAGUAUUCUUACAAUUAAUAAGAUUUGUUGUUCUAUUUUCUACCUGGUAAUUGCUGCAAAACCCUAAUACUUCAAACAGAUAAUGUUUAAAAAUAUAUAUCCUUACUUAAUGGAAAAAAACUGCAAACAGUGACAUUUAAAAUUAAACAUGAAUUACAUUUUCAGGACAGCUAGUUAUUAUUUAUAACUAUUUUCUCCAGGAAAAUGUCUUCUAACUUCUAAUAAACUUAAAAAUGAACCUUUAGGAUAUUCAUGUUAAAGAAUAUUAUUCAUUUAUUCAACAAGUAUUUAUUAGUCAUCUCCAUUGAGCCAUAUACUGUUCUCAGCAAGACUGAUUAACAAAACAGACCAUGUUACUUGUCCCAUGGAGCUUACAUUCUAGGACAAAUAUACCAUUAUGUUUCUUGUCUUUAUUCAGUAGCAGUUAGUAAGUCAAUCCCUAACUGACACAUUUGCCCUAGGAAAAAUCUUUCCAUAAAAUCAAGUAACAAAAAUUAAAGACACAAGAAAAAAGUCUACAAAAAUUAAUCUGUGCUUAUAGAAGAUGUUACAGUAUAUUGUGAAGAGGGUAUACAACAAAAUUUGAAUAUGAAUCCAUUUUUCUCUGUGUAUAAUACCUGUGUACAUAUGUAAACCAGUAUGUAUAUAUGUACAUAUAUACAUACAGACAUGUAACUUACAAAUGCUUAGAUAAAAGCUGAAAAACACAAUAUACAGUUAGCAAAUUCAUAGUUUCAAGAUGGCAAGAUCCCAGAAUAUUUUGUACUUCAAAAUUCAUCGGUGAACUGAUACUAUUAUGUACCUGCAUUUGUCAGAAAAGUCUGAAAGAAGUAGUCAACUCACGUUUCAAUUUGUUUUCCAGAAAGACUAAUUAGAAAGGAGUUAAAUGUUUUCUUCAUUUUGGAAAUGAAGCAGGAACGAUCAUAUUUCUUUCAGAGAAACAGAAAGUGGUGACUGAGUAAGCAAUAUAAUUCAAUAUUUUCAGUCUCUCGUUCUCAUCUAAUUAUUGGCUUUUAAAUUUGGCAUUUCAUAAUUAAUCUGAAAUUAUAAAAUCAAGUGAAAUGGUUUCCAAAGAAAAAUACUCAGUAUACACAUACUUAUUUGAGUUUUGAAAGGAACUUAAAUUUCUUGGUUUAAGUGUUUACUAUCUUACUAGCUUGGCAAUAUCUUGUAAAUAUCCACAAUUAGGGAAAAGAUAGAUUAUUCUCCUUCCAAUAACCUCACAGAAAUGCUUAAUACUCGAUUUUCUAAUGCUGCAGUAAAAUAAACAGGGAAGAAAGAUUUACUGUUUUAAAUUCAGGGUACAUUCUGAAAAAAAAAUCUGUAUCACAUCUGAGGUAGCAUUAAUGUGAAAAUGUUCUAUUUAUACAUUAAAUAAACUUAUUAAUUAGCUAACAGAUUUACAUUUGUUGACAAUAUUAUGUACUAAAGUUCUGUCUGUAAAAGGAAUAUGCUUUUGUUUUUAGAUUAUUCCUAACUAGUGAUUUACAUCAUCUCUCUCCUGGUUCAGAAUUGGUAUUGGGCCUCUCAAAAAAGUCUUUGAUCCUCUGCUACAUAUGAAGUACUAGAUAUAUAAAACCAAAAAUGUGUAUGUGAAGGUAUUACUCUAAUUUUAGCUUGUAUCACAAUCAACUGGCAGGAUUCUGGAAACAGAUUAUUGGGCCUUACCCAGGGUUUUUUUAUCCAGGAGAGCUGGAUGGGGCCUGAGAAUCUCCAUUUGUAACAAGUUAGCAGGUAGGUACCAAUGAUGCUGCUCUGGAGAAUACUUUGAGCCCCUCUACUCUAAGAAAAUACUUUAUGUGUCUUUCAAAAAUUCCCAGAGAAGUAAAAGACUGUUCAACACCCAAAAAUGGUUAACUUUUUUUUUUUUUUCAAUCUGCCCAAAUGCUUUACAUGUACA
Long non-coding RNA from Leopardus geoffroyi (Geoffroy's cat), 9607 nucleotides. RefSeq lists it as uncharacterized. Lineage: Eukaryota; Metazoa; Chordata; Mammalia; Carnivora; Felidae. The transcript is spliced from 2 exons. The record is from RefSeq and is a predicted model, not a curated record.